RNAcentral lists this ribosomal RNA (436 nucleotides) under uncultured bacterium. RNAcentral's name for it is "bacterial SSU rRNA". It matches the Rfam family "Bacterial small subunit ribosomal RNA", at positions 28 to 448 of the family's 1533-position model. The record is from RNAcentral.
GAUGAACGCUAGCGGCAGGCUUAAUACAUGCAAGUCGUGGGGCAGCAGGUUUGUAGCAAUACAGAUGCUGGCGACCGGCAAAACGGGGUGCGGAAACACGUACAGAACCUUCCUUUGAGCGGGGAAUAGCCCGAGAGAAAUUUGGAUUAAUACCCCAUAGUAUAAUGAAGUGGACAGUCACUUUAUUAUUAAAGAUUUAUCACUCGAAGAUGGCUGUGCGGCUGAUUAGGUAGUUGGCGGGGUAAAGGCCCACCAAGCCUGCGAUCAGUAACUGGUGUGAGAGCACGACCAGUCACACGGGCACUGAGACACGGGCCCGACUCCUACGGGAGGCAGCAGUAAGGAAUAUUGGUCAAGUGGAGGCAACUCUGAACCAGCCAUGCCGCGUGGAGGAUGAAGGUCCUCUGGAUUGUAAAACUUCUUUUAUAUGGGGACG